CAUUACUGAAGAUAAUAGGGUUUGAGACUGCGUCCCUUAAAUAAGGACGUGUGCUCGACUCUUACUCUUUAUCCACACACACCUUUGUGCACCAUGGGGACGAACAGUCCCCCCUUUUACAUAAACACCAAGUUAUAUGCAUGUCUUAUACUACUCUAYGGAGUAAUAAAUGUACAACUUUCAACAACGGAUCUCUUGGCUUUCGCAUCGAUGAAGAACGCAGCGAACGUGCGAAACGUAAUGUGAAUUGCAGAAUUCAGUGAAUCAUCGAAUCUUUGAACGCAUCUUGCGCUCCUUGGUAUUCCGAGGAGCAUGCCUGUUUGAGUGUCGUGAAAUACUCUCAAUUUCAAUCUUUUUGUUUGAAAUUGGAUUUGGGUGCUGUUGUGGAUUACUACAACUCAUCCUAAUUGCAUUAGCGAUCUGCCUUGAUCACACGCAAUGUGAUAAUAAAAAAGCAUUGUUAUAAUCGAGUCAGGAUGGCUUCUAACUGUCGAGAGACAAGCAUGUAAUACAUGUCAUUUGACCUCAAAUCAGGUAGGACUACCCGCUGAACUUAAGCAUAUC
This 564-nucleotide ribosomal RNA is filed under the name Geastrum thanatophilum. RNAcentral's name for it is "eukaryotic LSU rRNA". The record is from RNAcentral. Lineage: Eukaryota; Fungi; Basidiomycota; Agaricomycetes; Geastrales; Geastraceae.